This 73-nucleotide transfer RNA is filed under the name Bos taurus (domestic cattle). It matches the Rfam family "tRNA". From Rfam's summary of the family: Transfer RNA (tRNA) molecules are approximately 80 nucleotides in length. RNAcentral also lists the same sequence under 5 other names. Lineage: Eukaryota; Metazoa; Chordata; Mammalia; Artiodactyla; Bovidae. The record is from Rfam by way of RNAcentral.
UCUCUGGUGGUCCAGUGGUUAAGAUUCUGAGCUUCCAAUUCAGGGGGCUCAGGUUUGAUCCCUGGUUGGGGAA